Molecule: small RNA, 466 nt
Filed under: Pan troglodytes (chimpanzee)
Lineage: Eukaryota; Metazoa; Chordata; Mammalia; Primates; Hominidae
Description: retained intron
Source: RNAcentral
UUUGCUCACAGAAGCUCCUUUUUCAUCGGUGGAAAGGGGCCACAACGUGGGUGUCCCCUUCCAGCACGAGCGCGGGUCAGCCUCCUCGCCGCCUCCCUCCGUCCUUCACACUCUCUCUCCGGUUGUAUUUCUGCCUCCUCCUCCUCUUGCAGCUUCUCCUACCAGUCCUGACAAAAAAGCCAAGCGGCAUGAAGUAAAGAGCGACCCGACUCCCUUUGGUGUGCGAGGUUGGAGCAAAACAUCCCACUCACUGGAGGCACCUGAGGACGACGGGGGCUGGUCAAGUGCAGAGGAGCAGAUUAACUCGUCCGACGCAGAGGAGGACGGCGGGUUGGGCCCCAAGAAGCUGGUAACCAUGGCUUCCCUGUGGGCACUUGGGGUGGGGGCUGCCCUCCGGGGAUUAGGGGUGCUUCUGGCAGGUCCACCCAGGCUUGGGUCUUAGGACACAGCCCCAGCUCCUCCUAAC